AGCUUGAGCAACAUUGCUGCGGGUGGCAACUGCUGCUGAGGAAAGAACUGAGGAAGCCAUUGCUAAUUACUCUUAAGACAGAAAGAUUUCUCUUUCUCCCUUUUCCUUUAAACUUCCAAGAUGGUCUUUGCAUAGUUAUCCACCACUCUAUAUAUAAUGAUAAGGUUUCGCAUAUUUCCCAUAUCUAACGGACAAAAAUCAACAACUCCCUCAUCUUGGACUAAAGCUAACCAUUGGAUUAUGUGGUUCUUGAUACAUUAUACAAAUCUUAAUAUCCACACACGAAAGGUUGGAAAAUUAUUGUUGGUGCUAAACCACUCUUCAUUUAAGUCACCACAAUGGAGGUGCCACGUGUAAGCACCUCAGUAAUCUUAUCUCAUCCGAGAUGGGGUAGGAAGAGGAUAUGAAUGUGUGAUUGAGGUUAGGUUAAUUUUUUUAGAGUCCCUUUUGCUUGGACUUUAGCCGUAUUUGUUUAU
RNAcentral lists this long non-coding RNA (476 nucleotides) under Nicotiana benthamiana. RNAcentral's name for it is "long non-coding RNA (NBEN_LNC002290)". The record is from RNAcentral. Lineage: Eukaryota; Viridiplantae; Streptophyta; Magnoliopsida; Solanales; Solanaceae.